CUACUUUAUUGACGUGGCAGAUUGAAAAGGGGAUUAGUAGAAAAUCAUCAAGUGUCCUGCAAUCGCGAAGGAACGACUGAUUUUAAAGUAAUCGAUAUUUGUCGGUUUGUUGCAGCUUCAGAGGUGAGGUGCAAGUGUAGGAUAAAGCGCGUGGAAGGGAAAGCGGUUUGAAACCUUUCCGUCAUAAGACAGUUUGCUACGCUAAGCCGAAGAAAGCGGCUCAAUGCAAAACGCAGCUGCAUGAAAUAUGGAUGAUCUUAUGCUAUAGUAAUCGAAAGUGGCGCUCACUUUAUCGCAGUUUCUUGGUACAAGAAACGGUGGUUCGGUCAGACUGUAACCUGUUUUUUACUGAUCAGGUAAUAGGUGUAGAAAUUAAAGACCGUUUUAUUUCGGCGAAACUGGGCGACGUUUCUUGCGUUAAUUUAAACACGUUAGAGUGGUAGGACAGCUGCUUAUUCUUACUGUGGUAAAUCAGAGACAAUUGCGGUUAAGCUACAAGACAUAAGAAAAUGUCAGAAGUGGAAGAAGACCCCUUUAUGCUUAUGAAUGCUGACGAAUUGAAGAUUUACAUUGCACAGUUACAAAGGGAAUCCGCAAACUCAAGAAUUAAGACCUCUGAAGGCAGCAAAGACCUGAUGUCGUUCAUACAAGACAACACAGCAAACGAUCCACUGCUGACCGGUAUUGACUCAAAAACGAAUCCUUUUAUAGAAAAAAAGGAUUGCAUUCUAUUCUAGGAUAAAUUGAAUUCAAUAUUACGGGUUUCCAAACUGACAAUCCGAGUUGAAAUGUUCGUUAUAAUAGGGUGGGGAAGAUGGGACACCUAUUUAAUUUAUUUUCUCGCCCUAUUUGGUAGUAAAUAAAGAACGUUGAAGAAAUUUUAAAACCGACUCCCAUAGACAGUUGUUAAUUGUUUAAAACACGAUCAGGAUAUUUGGACAUUAUAUGCUAAAGGUGUCCUAUGUUCCCUCAUCCUACUAAUGUUUACCUCCUUGGUAUCUGUUUGUUCCGGGUUACCGUACGUUCUGUAAAUGCUUAUUCUUAUACAUGUCUUAUGACUCUCAUUUCAACAAACAGUGUAAUAUAUUCUGCGGGUAGUGGAUUCGGCUGUAAUCCAGUCUUGGUUAAAACAUAGAUUUUUAAAAGCUUUAUAUAAACCUUCACGUUUUACCCGCAUACAAUUUAGUAUUUUUAAAGCCUUGCAAAUAUUAACAACACGAACCCAAACAAGCAACAUUGUGCGAAAGAAUAUUAAAUCCACUACAACGUACAAUCUGUAUAUUUAUAACAUAACUUAUUCCAUCUUUUCACUUACAUAGCAAAGUAUAUUCUCGCCUUUGAAGCAGCAUAUGGAUUCUGUACGCGACCUUAAAGAUUAUAUUUGUUGGGGUAAUAUGGUUCAAUAAUAUGGUUUUUAACAUCCCAUUUAGUAGUAAACGAAACAUAUUCACAUAUUUAUAAAACCGUAUCCUCAUACGACUUUAAAGGAGCGUGGUUAAAUGUUAAAGCACAUUUAGGAAAUAUAAGAAUUUAUGUGCUAACGGUAUCCAUCUUACCCCAUAUUACUAUGUAUUGUUUCGACGUUACAAAAAUAGGCACGUGUCACUGUGGUUCUUUUAUUUAAGUUGCGGGUUACCACCCUAUAAAUACUUCUGCACGUAAGUUGAUGUAACCGUCGUUUUUACAGUAUAUGCCCAGUCCGUUUAUUCAACCAAUCAAAUUUAAAUAAAACAGCCGUACUUUGAAUUAUUAGCAAAUAUAACGUAUAGGUUAUAGUUACUACUUUAUUUUAAACAGCGCAACAAAACAUGUUAAUUUAUAUAUUUAUUUUGUGUUGAAUUUAAGCGACUUAUUUUCUCCGUGCAAAUCUACGUGCGUUAAAGUAUUAUUAAAUGUGUAUUAUACUUGAAUUUGACCGAUGCUGCUUUCGUAUGAUGGUAAAAAAUGUGUAUAUAGUCAGUCA
Ciona intestinalis (vase tunicate) is the source of this 1963-nucleotide non-coding RNA. The record is from RefSeq and is a predicted model, not a curated record. Lineage: Eukaryota; Metazoa; Chordata; Ascidiacea; Phlebobranchia; Cionidae.